Trifolium pratense (red clover) is the source of this 107-nucleotide small nucleolar RNA. NCBI's taxonomy places the organism in Eukaryota, Viridiplantae, Streptophyta, Magnoliopsida, Fabales, Fabaceae. The record is from RefSeq and is a predicted model, not a curated record.
AAACCAUGGUGUGGACACCUUUUAAGGCACACUUUGAACCUCUCCCACGCAUCAUAGAGUGUCUCCCCAUCCGCUUGUUCAAAGUUGCUAAUUUCAGCUCUUCUUUC